Long non-coding RNA from Lynx canadensis (Canada lynx), 109 nucleotides. RefSeq lists it as uncharacterized. The transcript is spliced from 3 exons. NCBI's taxonomy places the organism in Eukaryota, Metazoa, Chordata, Mammalia, Carnivora, Felidae. The record is from RefSeq and is a predicted model, not a curated record.
CUGCCUACAGACAUCUGAGAUCACUUAAUCCUCAAGCUACCAAACAUAUACCAGCCAGAAGCAAUCUGAGAAACUCUCUCCAAGAUUGGAAGAACACACUUCUGAACUC